RNAcentral lists this ribosomal RNA (305 nucleotides) under uncultured bacterium. RNAcentral describes it as "bacterial SSU rRNA". It matches the Rfam family "Bacterial small subunit ribosomal RNA", at positions 338 to 660 of the family's 1533-position model. The record is from RNAcentral.
CCUACGGGGGGCAGCAGUGGGGGAUAUUGCACAAUGGGGGAAACCCUGAUGCAGCGACGCCGCGUGGGUGAAGAAGCGCCUCGGCGCGUAAAGCCCUGUCAGCAGGGAAGAAAAUGACGGUACCUGAAGAAGAAGCCCCGGCUAACUACGUGCCAGCAGCCGCGGUAAUACGUAGGGGACAAGCGUUAUCCGGAUUUACUGGGUGUAAAGGGGGCGCAGACGGCGAUGCAAGCCAGGAGUGAAAGCCCGGGGCCCAACCCCGGGACUGCUCUUGGAACUGCGUGGCUAGAGUGAAGGAGGGGCAG